Molecule: unclassified non-coding RNA, 195 nt
Filed under: uncultured fungus
Lineage: Eukaryota; Fungi
Description: sequence contains ITS1
Source: RNAcentral
UUAACUUGUUUAUUUUGUUCUCAGACUUCACUGUUAUGAGGGUUUGAUUGUGUCCCCCUGGCAGGUCCGCCAGGCCGUGAGGCCCGGGAUCAACCCCGCCAAGGCAACGAAAAAGGUAGUACACAAAGGGUGGGAGUGAGGGCCCAGAGGACCCGUUACUCGAUAAUGAUCCUUCCGCAGGUUCACCUACGGAAA